AUGUGGGAAGAAUGCUUGCCUCAUAUUGAGUUUGCUUAUAAUCGUUCAUUGCAUUCUACUACUAAGAUGUGCCCUUUUGAAAUUGUGUAUGGUUUCCUACCUCGUGCACCUAUUGAUUUGUUGCCUCUUCCAUCUUCGGAGAAGGUUAAUUUUGAUGCUAAACAACGUGCUGAAUUGAUCUUCAAAAUGCAUGAGUUAACUAAGGAAAACAUUGAGCGUAUGAAUGCUAAAUAUAAACUUGCUGGAGAUAAGGGUAGAAAACAUGUUGUGUUUGCACCUGGAGAUCUUGUUUGGUUACAUUUGCGUAAGGAUAGAUUUCCUGAUUUGCGCAAAUCAAAGCUAAUGCCACGUGCUGAUGGUCCUUUUAAGGUGUUAGAGAAAAUAAAUGAUAAUGCAUAUAAACUUGAGCUGCCUGCAGAUUUUGGGGUUAGUCCCACUUUUAACAUUGCAGAUUUGAAGCCUUAUUUGGGUGAGGAAGAUGAGCUUUCGUCGAGGACGACUUCAUUUCAAGAAGGGGAGGAUGAUGAAGACAUCAAUACCAUUGUUACACCCACAGCCCCUGCUGCUAUACAUACUGGACCAAUUACUAGAGCUCGCGCACGCCAAUUAAAUUACCAGGAAACAGACCCUCGUGGUCAGGUUGAUCGUGCUCCGGCUUGGUCAAUAACCUCUCGGAGUUGGUUUAGCGAUUGCUAA
This 696-nucleotide ribosomal RNA is filed under the name Triticum aestivum (bread wheat). Its description in RNAcentral is "partial small subunit ribosomal RNA". The record is from RNAcentral. Lineage: Eukaryota; Viridiplantae; Streptophyta; Magnoliopsida; Poales; Poaceae.